AGUGAACGCUGGCGGCAGGCCUAACACAUGCAAGUCGAACGGCAGCACAAUAAGAGCUUGCUCUUACGGGUGGCGAGUGGCGGACGGGUGAGGAAUACAUCGGAAUCUACUUUUUCGUGGGGGAUAACGUAGGGACACUUACGCUAAUACCGCAUACGACCUACGGGUGAAAGCAGGGGAUCUUCGCACCUUGCGCGAUUGAAUGAGCUGAUGUCGGAUUAGCUAGUUGGCGGGGUAAAGGCCCACCAAGGCGACGAUCCGUAGCUGGUCUGAGAGGAUGAUCAGCCACACUGGAACUGAGACACGGUCCAGACUCCUACGGGAGGCAGCAGUGGGGAAUAUUGGACAAUGGGCGCAAGCCUGAUCCAGCCAUACCGCGUGGGUGAAGAAGGUCUUCGGGUUGUAAAGCCCUUUUGUUGGGGAAGAAAAGCAGCAGGUUAAUACCCCGCUGUUCUGACGGUACCCAAAGAAUAAGCACCGGCUAACUUCGUG
This 492-nucleotide ribosomal RNA is filed under the name uncultured bacterium. RNAcentral's name for it is "partial 16S ribosomal RNA". It matches the Rfam family "Bacterial small subunit ribosomal RNA", at positions 29 to 507 of the family's 1533-position model. The record is from RNAcentral.